UAACUUUGUACUCAGGCGGAGAACAUGGAUACCCCCUGGCUUGCCUUGACGGGACAUAACAAAAAUUGUACAACAGGUGAGAAAAGAGUGGAUGGGUGCAUCUCUCUAGCCGUGGCGUGCGAUUGUUCAUAGAAACUCUACGGCGGAGAACAUGGAUACCCCCUGGCUUGCGUAGACGGGACAGAGCAAAUCUUAUCAACAGGUGGAUUGAUUGAGCGGAGGAGAUCAUCUCUUUAGCCUUGGCGUGCAUUUUUUUUUCACUGCGACUCUAC
This is a long non-coding RNA of Bufo bufo (common toad), 272 nucleotides long. RefSeq lists it as uncharacterized. Lineage: Eukaryota; Metazoa; Chordata; Amphibia; Anura; Bufonidae. The record is from RefSeq and is a predicted model, not a curated record. The transcript has 4 exons.